This 1395-nucleotide ribosomal RNA is filed under the name Campylobacter jejuni. RNAcentral's name for it is "partial 23S ribosomal RNA". It matches the Rfam family "Bacterial large subunit ribosomal RNA", at positions 1540 to 2925 of the family's 2925-position model. The record is from RNAcentral. Lineage: Bacteria; Pseudomonadati; Campylobacterota; Epsilonproteobacteria; Campylobacterales; Campylobacteraceae.
AUACUCCGAGAACUGAAAGGCUUUUUGAAGUCUUCGGAUGGAUAGAAGAACCCCUGAUGCCGUCGAGCCAAGAAAAGUUUCUAAGUUUAGCUAAUGUUGCCCGUACCGUAAACCGACACAGGUGGGUGGGAUGAGUAUUCUAAGGCGCGUGGAAGAACUCUCUUUAAGGAACUCUGCAAAAUAGCACCGUAUCUUCGGUAUAAGGUGUGGUUCGCUUCGUAUUAGGAUUUACUCCGAAAGCGAAGAAACUUACAACAAAGAGUCCCUCCCGACUGUUUACCAAAAACACAGCACUCUGCUAACUCGUAAGAGGAUGUAUAGGGUGUGACGCCUGCCCGGUGCUCGAAGGUUAAUUGAUGGGGUUAGCAUUAGCGAAGCUCUUGAUCGAAGCCCGAGUAAACGGCGGCCGUAACUAUAACGGUCCUAAGGUAGCGAAAUUCCUUGUCGGUUAAAUACCGACCUGCAUGAAUGGCGUAACGAGAUGGGAGCUGUCUCAAAGAGGGAUCCAGUGAAAUUGUAGUGGAGGUGAAAAUUCCUCCUACCCGCGGCAAGACGGAAAGACCCCGUGGACCUUUACUACAGCUUGACACUGCUACUUGGAUAAGAAUGUGCAGGAUAGGUGGGAGGCUUUGAGUAUAUGACGCCAGUUGUAUAUGAGCCAUUGUUGAGAUACCACUCUUUCUUAUUUGGGUAGCUAACCAGCUUGAGUUAUCCUCAAGUGGGACAAUGUCUGGUGGGUAGUUUGACUGGGGCGGUCGCCUCCCAAAUAAUAACGGAGGCUUACAAAGGUUGGCUCAGAACGGUUGGAAAUCGUUCGUAGAGUAUAAAGGUAUAAGCCAGCUUAACUGCAAGACAUACAAGUCAAGCAGAGACGAAAGUCGGUCUUAGUGAUCCGGUGGUUCUGUGUGGAAGGGCCAUCGCUCAAAGGAUAAAAGGUACCCCGGGGAUAACAGGCUGAUCUCCCCCAAGAGCUCACAUCGACGGGGAGGUUUGGCACCUCGAUGUCGGCUCAUCGCAUCCUGGGGCUGGAGCAGGUCCCAAGGGUAUGGCUGUUCGCCAUUUAAAGCGGUACGCGAGCUGGGUUCAGAACGUCGUGAGACAGUUCGGUCCCUAUCUGCCGUGGGCGUAAGAAGAUUGAAGAGAUUUGACCCUAGUACGAGAGGACCGGGUUGAACAAACCACUGGUGUAGCUGUUGUUCUGCCAAGAGCAUCGCAGCGUAGCUAAGUUUGGAAAGGAUAAACGCUGAAAGCAUCUAAGCGUGAAGCCAACUCUAAGAUGAAUCUUCUCUAAGCUCUCUAGAAGACUACUAGUUUGAUAGGCUGGGUGUGUAAUGGAUGAAAGUCCUUUAGCUGACCAGUACUAAUAGAGCGUUUGGCUUAUCUUUAAUAAAGCAU